Long non-coding RNA from Salvia splendens (bonfire salvia), 946 nucleotides. RefSeq lists it as uncharacterized. The transcript has 3 exons. The record is from RefSeq and is a predicted model, not a curated record. Lineage: Eukaryota; Viridiplantae; Streptophyta; Magnoliopsida; Lamiales; Lamiaceae.
CAUUGAGUUCUUGCACCUUACCAUUUAUUACACUCCCUUUUCAUCACAACACCCCCUUCUUCUGUCUGUAUUUUGCGUGAAGACUAGGUAGAUGCAUUUGAUGCCUUCCUUCAAUUGUUGCAGGCUGUGGUAGGAAGUAUUUAAGGACCUGAAGCCUCUUUUUUCUUUUACUACAUUCAAUUUACUGUCACAACUGGUUAAGAAUAUGCAGACCCCUAAAGCAAGAAGCAGUCACUCGAAGAAGAGUUCUCCUCGAUCUAUAUCCUCGGAGGCAUCUCCCAAAAGCUCCUCUCCUCAAACUGCAUCAUCAGAAGCUCCCCAAAAGGUUUCUCCGAGUGUAGUGCGUCAGCUCAAGACAGGGCCGCAUUUCUUAGACCCUACUGCUUCUUCAGCAAACCAAGCAAACCAUUGCUUGAAACGGCCAAGAAGAUGGUGGAGACGCUGAGGUCGGAUGGACUAAAUGUUAGAAAAAGAAAGGUAUAAGCUUGUAGGAUAAGCUUUCUAUUAGCUUGGAGGCUAAGAAAUACAUUAGCUUGGAGGCUAAGAAAUACAUGAGCUUGGUGCCCAAGAAUAUAUUAGCUUGGUGCCCAAGAAUACUUGUAGCACAAGCUUUGUAAUGCCCUAUAUAAGGGUGUCAUAUUGUUGAAGAAAAUAAUCAAGCCUUUUACCAAAAUCCUUCUUCUUCUUAGCCAUUUAACAUGGCAUCAGAGCCAGCAACGAUUCUUGGAGCUCAGAAUCAAUCUCAUCAUCGCUCUUAAACCUCUCCCAACCUCUUGGCCAAGAACCUGUAAAAGGCAGAAAUGUCAGAAACUGAAAAGGUGAUCACCGGCGACCCGAACUCAUCCGAAGCGGAUGAGUUUGCACGUCUCUUUUCAAAUUUCAUGCGAAAAAGCCUCAUGCAAAACCAACCACCAGAAAAUCCCGACAAACCAGAAAAACCAAUAUA